RNAcentral lists this ribosomal RNA (253 nucleotides) under uncultured bacterium. Its description in RNAcentral is "partial 16S ribosomal RNA". It matches the Rfam family "Bacterial small subunit ribosomal RNA", at positions 524 to 776 of the family's 1533-position model. The record is from RNAcentral.
UACAGAGGGGGCAAGCGUUGUUCGGAAUUACUGGGCGUAAAGGGCGCGUAGGCGGCCAACUAAGUCGAACGUGAAAUCCCCGGGCUCAACCCGGGAACUGCGUCCGAUACUGGUUGGCUUGAAUCCGGGAGAGGGAUGCGGAAUUCCAGGUGUAGCGGUGAAAUGCGUAGAUAUCAGGAGGAACACCGGUGGCGAAGGCGGGUCUCUGGGCCGAUACUGACGCUGAGGAGCGAAAGCAUGGGUAGCGAACAGG